UUAAGCGACUAAGCGUACACGGUGGAUGCCCUGGCAGUCAGAGGCGAUGAAGGACGUGCUAAUCUGCGAUAAGCGUCGGUAAGGUGAUAUGAACCGUUAUAACCGGCGAUUUCCGAAUGGGGAAACCCAGUGUGUUUCGACACACUAUCAUUACGUGAAUACAUAGCGUAAUGAAGCGAACCGGGGGAACUGAAACAUCUAAGUACCCCGAGGAAAAGAAAUCAACCGAGAUUCCCCCAGUAGCGGCGAGCGAACGGGGAGCAGCCCAGAGUCUGAAUCAGCUUGUGUGUUAGUGGAACGGUCUGGAAAGUCCGACGGUACAGGGUGAUAGUCCCGUACACCAAAAUGCACAGGUUGUGAACUCGAAGAGUAGGGCGGGACACGUGGUAUCCUGUCUGAAUAUGGGGGGACCAUCCUCCAAGGCUAAAUACUCCUGACUGACCGAUAGUGAACCAGUACCGUGAGGGAAAGGCGAAAAGAACCCCGGCGAGGGGAGUGAAAAAGAACCUGAAACCGUGUACGUACAAGCAGUGGGAGCCUCUUUAUGGGGUGACUGCGUACCUUUUGUAUAAUGGGUCAGCGACUUAUAUUCUGUAGCAAGGUUAACCGUAUAGGGGAGCCGAAGGGAAACCGAGUCUUAACUGGGCGUUAAGUUGCAGGGUAUAGACCCGAAACCCGGUGAUCUAGCCAUGGGCAGGUUGAAGGUUGGGUAACACUAACUGGAGGACCGAACCGACUAAUGUUGAAAAAUUAGCGGAUGACUUGUGGCUGGGGGUGAAAGGCCAAUCAAACCGGGAGAUAGCUGGUUCUCCCCGAAAGCUAUUUAGGUAGCGCCUCGUGAAUUCAUCUUCGGGGGUAGAGCACUGUUUCGGCUAGGGGGUCAUCCCGACUUACCAACCCGAUGCAAACUGCGAAUACCGAAGAAUGUUAUCACGGGAGACACACGGCGGGUGCUAACGUCCGUCGUGAAGAGGGAAACAACCCAGACCGCCAGCUAAGGUCCCAAAGUCAUGGUUAAGUGGGAAACGAUGUGGGAAGGCACAGACAGCCAGGAUGUUGGCUUAGAAGCAGCCAUCAUUUAAAGAAAGCGUAAUAGCUCACUGGUCGAGUCGGCCUGCGCGGAAGAUGUAACGGGGCUAAACCAUGCACCGAAGCUGCGGCAGCGACACUAUGUGUUGUUGGGUAGGGGAGCGUUCUGUAAGCCGUUGAAGGUGUGCUGUGAGGCAUGCUGGAGGUAUCAGAAGUGCGAAUGCUGACAUAAGUAACGAUAAUGCGGGUGAAAAACCCGCACGCCGGAAGACCAAGGGUUCCUGUCCAACGUUAAUCGGGGCAGGGUGAGUCGACCCCUAAGGCGAGGCCGAAAGGCGUAGUCGAUGGGAAACAGGUUAAUAUUCCUGUACUUGGUGUUACUGCGAAGGGGGGACGGAGAAGGCUAUGUUAGCCGGGCGACGGUUGUCCCGGUUUAAGCAUGUAGGCGGAGGUUCCAGGUAAAUCCGGUACCUUUUAACGCUGAGGUGUGAUGACGAGGCACUACGGUGCUGAAGUAACAAAUGCCCUGCUUCCAGGAAAAGCCUCUAAGCAUCAGGUAACACGAAAUCGUACCCCAAACCGACACAGGUGGUCAGGUAGAGAAUACCAAGGCGCUUGAGAGAACUCGGGUGAAGGAACUAGGCAAAAUGGUGCCGUAACUUCGGGAGAAGGCACGCUGAUAUGUAGGUGAAGCGGUUUACCCGUGGAGCUGAAAUCAGUCGAAGAUACCAGCUGGCUGCAACUGUUUAUUAAAAACACAGCACUGUGCAAACACGAAAGUGGACGUAUACGGUGUGACGCCUGCCCGGUGCCGGAAGGUUAAUUGAUGGGGUUAUCCGUAAGGAGAAGCUCUUGAUCGAAGCCCCGGUAAACGGCGGCCGUAACUAUAACGGUCCUAAGGUAGCGAAAUUCCUUGUCGGGUAAGUUCCGACCUGCACGAAUGGCGUAAUGAUGGCCAGGCUGUCUCCACCCGAGACUCAGUGAAAUUGAACUCGCUGUGAAGAUGCAGUGUACCCGCGGCAAGACGGAAAGACCCCGUGAACCUUUACUAUAGCUUGACACUGAACACUGGUCCUUGAUGUGUAGGAUAGGUGGGAGGCUUUGAAGUGUGGACGCCAGUCUGCAUGGAGCCAUCCUUGAAAUACCACCCUUUAAUGGCUGGUGUUCUAACGUGGACCCGUUAUCCGGGUUGCGGACAGUGUCUGGUGGGUAGUUUGACUGGGGCGGUCUCCUCCUAAAGAGUAACGGAGGAGCACGAAGGUUAGCUAAUCCUGGUCGGACAUCAGGAGGUUAGUGCAAAGGCAUAAGCUAGCUUGACUGCGAGAGUGACGGCUCGAGCAGGUGCGAAAGCAGGUCUUAGUGAUCCGGUGGUUCUGAAUGGAAGGGCCAUCGCUCAACGGAUAAAAGGUACUCCGGGGAUAACAGGCUGAUACCGCCCAAGAGUUCAUAUCGACGGCGGUGUUUGGCACCUCGAUGUCGGCUCAUCACAUCCUGGGGCUGAAGUAGGUCCCAAGGGUAUGGCUGUUCGCCAUUUAAAGUGGUACGCGAGCUGGGUUUAGAACGUCGUGAGACAGUUCGGUCCCUAUCUGCCGUGGGCGCUGGAGAAUUGAGGGGGGCUGCUCCUAGUACGAGAGGACCGGAGUGGACGCAUCACUGGUGUUCGGGUUGUCAUGCCAAUGGCAUUGCCCGGUAGCUAAAUGCGGAAGAGAUAAGUGCUGAAAGCAUCUAAGCACGAAACUUGCCCCGAGAUGAGUUCUCCCUGAGACUUUAAGUCUCCUGAAGGAACGUUGAAGACGACGACGUUGAUAGGUCGGGUGUGUAAGCGUAGCGAUACGUUGAGCUAACCGAUACUAAUGAACCGUGAGGCUUAACCUU
RNAcentral lists this ribosomal RNA (2904 nucleotides) under Citrobacter freundii. Its description in RNAcentral is "bacterial LSU rRNA". It matches the Rfam family "Bacterial large subunit ribosomal RNA". Lineage: Bacteria; Pseudomonadati; Pseudomonadota; Gammaproteobacteria; Enterobacterales; Enterobacteriaceae. The record is from RNAcentral. RNAcentral also lists the same sequence under 1 other name.